CAUGCAAGUCGAGGGGCAGCACAGGUAGCAAUACCGGGUGGCGACCGGCGCACGGGUGAGUAACGCGUAUGCAACUUACCUAUCAGAGGGGGAUAACCCGGCGAAAGUCGGACUAAUACCGCAUGAAGCAGGGGUCCCGCAUGGGGAUAUUUGCUAAAGAUUCAUCGCUGAUAGAUAGGCAUGCGUUCCAUUAGGCAGUUGGCGGGGUAACGGCCCACCAAACCGACGAUGGAUAGGGGUUCUGAGAGGAAGGUCCCCCACAUUGGUACUGAGACACGGACCAAACUCCUACGGGAGGCAGCAGUGAGGAAUAUUGGUCAAUGGCCGAGAGGCUGAACCAGCCAAGUCGCGUGAGGGAUGAAGGUUCUAUGGAUCGUAAACCUCUUUUAUAAGGGAAUAAAGUGCGGGACGUGUCCCGUUUUGUAUGUACCUUAUGAAUAAGGAUCGGCUAACUCCGUGCCAGCAGCCGCGGUAAUACGGAGGAUCCGAGCGUUAUCCGGAUUUAUUGGGUUUAAAGGGUGCGUAGGCGGCCUUUUAAGUCAGCGGUGAAAGUCUGUGGCUCAACCAUAGAAUUGCCGUUGAAACUGGGGGGCUUGAGUAUGUUUGAGGCAGGCGGAAUGCGUGGUGUAGCGGUGAAAUGCAUAGAUAUCACGCAGAACCCCGAUUGCGAAGGCAGCCUGCCAAGCCAUUACUGACGCUGAUGCACGAAAGCGUGGGGAUCAAACAGGAUUAGAUACCCUGGUAGUCCACGCAGUAAACGAUGAUCACUAGCUGUUUGCGAUACACUGUAAGCGGCACAGCGAAAGCGUUAAGUGAUCCACCUGGGGAGUACGCCGGCAACGGUGAAACUCAAAGGAAUUGACGGGGGCCCGCACAAGCGGAGGAACAUGUGGUUUAAUUCGAUGAUACGCGAGGAACCUUACCCGGGUU
This 930-nucleotide ribosomal RNA is filed under the name uncultured bacterium. RNAcentral describes it as "bacterial SSU rRNA". It matches the Rfam family "Bacterial small subunit ribosomal RNA", at positions 54 to 981 of the family's 1533-position model. The record is from RNAcentral.